GACGAACGCUGGCGGCGUGCUUAACACAUGCCAGUCGAACGGAAAGGCCCUGCUUUUGUGGGGUGCCCGAGUGGCGAACGGGUGAGUAACACGUGAGUAACCUGCCCUUGACUUUGGGAUAACUUCAGGAAACUGGGGCUAAUACCGGAUAGGAGCUCCUGCUGCAUGGUGGGGGUUGGAAAGUUUCGGCGGUUGGGGAUGGACUCGCGGCUUAUCAGCUUGUUGGUGGGGUAGUGGCUUACCAAGGCUUUGACGGGUAGCCGGCCUGAGAGGGUGACCGGCGACAUUGGGACUGAGAUACGGCCCAGACUCCUACGGGAGGCAGCAGUGGGGAAUAUUGCACAAUGGGCGGAAGCCUGAUGCAGCAACGCCGCGUGCGGGAUGACGGCCUUCGGGUUGUAAACCGCUUUCGCCUGUGACGAAGCGUGAGUGACGGUAAUGGGUAAAGAAGCACCGGCUAACUACGUG
This 468-nucleotide ribosomal RNA is filed under the name uncultured bacterium. Its description in RNAcentral is "partial 16S ribosomal RNA". It matches the Rfam family "Bacterial small subunit ribosomal RNA", at positions 28 to 507 of the family's 1533-position model. The record is from RNAcentral.